CAGCCGCCGCGGUAAUACGAGGGGGGCAAGCGUUGUUCGGAAUUAUUGGGCGUAAAGGGUGCGUAGGCGGUUUGGCAAGUUUGGUGUGAAAUCUUCGGGCUCAACUCGAAGUCUGCAUCGAAAACUGCCGGGCUUGAGUAUGGGAGAGGUGAGUGGAAUUUCCGGUGUAGCGGUGAAAUGCGUAGAUAUCGGAAGGAACACCUGUGGCGAAAGCGGCUCACUGGACCAUAACUGACGCUGAUGCACGAAAGCUAGGGGAGCAAACAGGAUUAGAUACCCCCGUAGUCCCUGUCUCUUAUAC
RNAcentral lists this ribosomal RNA (301 nucleotides) under uncultured bacterium. Its description in RNAcentral is "partial 16S ribosomal RNA". It matches the Rfam family "Bacterial small subunit ribosomal RNA", at positions 509 to 807 of the family's 1533-position model. The record is from RNAcentral.